GAUGAACGCUGGCGGCGUGCCUAAUACAUGCAAGUCGAGCGGACAGACGAUGAGCUUGCUGCUCGGACGUUAGCGGCGCGCGUGUGUGUAACACGUGUAUAACCUACCUAUAAUACUGGUAUAACUUGGAGAAACCGGCUCUAAUACCGUAGAAUAUAUUGAACCGCAGGGGGGGAUAGUGAGAGACGGCUGUUCGGUCACUAAUAGAUGGAUCUGCGCCGUAUUAGAUAGUUGGUAAGGUAACGGCUUAUGAAGGGAACGAUGCGUAGACGAACGAAGGGGGUGGUCGGCGACACUGGAACGGAGCCACCGUCCAGACUCCUACGGGAGGCAGCAGUCGGGAAUCUGCCGCAGUGGGCGAGAGCCUUACGGAGCAACGCCGCGUCAGUGAUGACGAUGUUGCGAUCGUAAAGAUCUGUUAUUAGGGAAGAACAACUGUCUACGUAGAUAUGCACGUAUUGACGGUAACUAGUAAGAAAGCAACGGCUAACUACGUG
This 497-nucleotide ribosomal RNA is filed under the name uncultured bacterium. Its description in RNAcentral is "partial 16S ribosomal RNA". It matches the Rfam family "Bacterial small subunit ribosomal RNA", at positions 28 to 507 of the family's 1533-position model. The record is from RNAcentral.